This 106-nucleotide small nucleolar RNA is filed under the name Gossypium barbadense (sea-island cotton). Its description in RNAcentral is "Plant small nucleolar RNA R71". It matches the Rfam family "Plant small nucleolar RNA R71". From Rfam's summary of the family: R71 is a member of the C/D box family of snoRNAs containing the C (UGAUGA) and D (CUGA) box motifs. Multiple nearly identical copies of this snoRNA have been identified in Arabidopsis, and it is thought to function as a 2'-O-ribose methylation guide for 18S ribosomal RNA. Lineage: Eukaryota; Viridiplantae; Streptophyta; Magnoliopsida; Malvales; Malvaceae. RNAcentral also lists the same sequence under 2 other names. The record is from Rfam by way of RNAcentral.
AAUCCAUGGUGAGGGCACAUUCUCAAUAGAUCCUUGUACCUCUCCCAUGUAUUGUAGAGUGUUUCUAAAUCCAUCUGCACAAAAGAAGAAAUAUCAUUCCGUAAUU